AUAGAAAAUUACUGAAAAGUCUCUCAUGAGAUGUAACUAGUUCGCAGAUAAAAUCCUGUCAUCUUUUAAACCUUCAUUUGUGCCGAGAUUUUCUGUCUAUAAACUGGAAAGGCCCGGGGAAUCGGCAUGACAUAAGCGCCUUCCUCUCGAGGCGGAGGUCGGAAGACAGAAGGAGAGGAGGAAGGAGGAAGAGAGAGAGACGGGGCUCGAUAAGCGCCGCUAUCAGAACGCACCCAAACACAGCGUCCGGCUGUUCUCCCUUGUGCAGGCGGAGGAAAACAGAUACCCUUAGCAGACACAAAGCGAGCUUCACUGCUGCGUUUGGAGAACCUCAGCAAAAUCCUGUGAGGACCAGACGGUGCAGUUUUCUCUUUUUUGGAGGGCUGCAGCAAUGUGAGGAAGAGGCUUUGGACAUCUGGCAGAGGCUAUAUCACUUGUUAUUUCCUCCCUCUGUUGUUCUGAAGGAGAGGUCAGUCGGCAGCAGACUGGAGAUGGAGGCCAGGUUAGAGGUCACAACUGAGCCCUGUUGAUUGGUAGGGUCGACCAAGGGUCAAAAGAGGAGAGGAAAGCAACAGGAAAGCUCUUUGUGCUUCGCUCUAAAGGAUUGGGAACGCUUUCCUCAGGUCCUAUCUGUCUUCCUAGCCUUGUGCCGGACAUAAGAUAUUGGCCGCCACGUGCUUUCCCACAAACAGAAGCAUGAACAUCAGGUACAAUAGGGUCCUAAAGGGACAGCCACCCUAAAAAUUAAAAUUCUGUCAAAUUUUACUCAACCUCAUGUUGUCUAUAAGACAUAAAAAAUAUAUAUAUUUAUAAAUAAUUUCAGGGUUUUAUUUGUUGCACGACUUUUUCCCCGAUUUAUAGUCUGGAUGCGUUGACACUGAUUGCAGAAAGUCAAUGGGCACAGAAUCACAUUUUCAGCUUCAGACUUCUCUAUCCAUUCUGGGGAUAUCAAACAUGUUUGCUAUUUUGAGACGAUUUUUGUUUUCAUUUGUCAUGCGUCUCCUAGCAUUAAAGCGAGUGUUCUGCAUAAGUUUGUUUUUGUUCAGAAAAACUUGAAAGUCUGGUGUCCGUAGUUUUUCCUCAGUAACCCUUUACAAAGUUGACAAGUUUAUGAUGCCUAGUUUUUUUUUAAUCAUUUCAGAUGUAGUUUAUUCCAGUCAUACAGUUUUGGAACAACAUGACGGUAAGUAAAUUAAAAAAUAUUAAUUUUGAAAAAACAACCUGGAUCUUGUGCACAUAUAUGGUUUACAUUCCCUCACCUUACCUGAUAAAACUGACCCAGCAGGUCUAAAACAAUGCUCAGAGAGCUACGUAAGCAUU
Molecule: long non-coding RNA, 1320 nt
Organism: Labeo rohita (rohu)
Lineage: Eukaryota; Metazoa; Chordata; Actinopteri; Cypriniformes; Cyprinidae
Exons: 3
Source: RefSeq, a predicted model, not a curated record